This 252-nucleotide ribosomal RNA is filed under the name uncultured bacterium. Its description in RNAcentral is "partial 16S ribosomal RNA". It matches the Rfam family "Bacterial small subunit ribosomal RNA", at positions 524 to 776 of the family's 1533-position model. The record is from RNAcentral.
UACGUAGGGAGCAAGCGUUGUCCGGAAUUACUGGGCGUAAAGGGUGCGUAGGCGGGAUGCCAAGUCAGCGGUAAAAAUGCGGUGCUCAACGCCGUCGAGCCGUUGAAACUGGCGUUCUUGAGUGGGCGAGAAGUAUGCGGAAUGCGUGGUGUAGCGGUGAAAUGCAUAGAUAUCACGCAGAACUCCGAUUGCGAAGGCAGCAUACCGGCGCCCUACUGACGCUGAGGCACGAAAGCGUGGGUAUCGAACAGG